Hyla sarda is the source of this 1220-nucleotide long non-coding RNA. RefSeq lists it as uncharacterized. The record is from RefSeq and is a predicted model, not a curated record. The transcript has 6 exons. NCBI's taxonomy places the organism in Eukaryota, Metazoa, Chordata, Amphibia, Anura, Hylidae.
AACCACUAGUACAGUCCAGGCCUUAGCUAUCAGAGGGAGUGCACAUGAAGAGCAGGAGAUGAGGGAAAGGACAAGAUGACACAGGAGAGGUGACUGAUGCCCGAUGAGAAGGUGAACGUGACAUAUACCCUCGUCAGCUGCAAGAAAGGAACCAUGAGACAGGUGACUGAUGCCCGGUGAGAAGGUGAACGUGACAUGUACCCUCAUCAGCUGCAAGAAAGGAACCACGAGACAGGUGACUGAUGCCCGGUGAGAAGGUGAACGUGACAUAUAUCCUCAUCAGCUGCAAGAAAGGAACCACGAGACAGGUGACUGAUGCCCGGUGAGAAGGUGAACGUGACAUAUACCCUCGUCAGCUGCAAGAAAGGAACCACGAGACAGGUCCAGACUUGGAGGAAGAAGUUGAAAUGGUUUCUAUAAGAUCUGUCACCUAAACCCAAGGAUCAGGUUUGUUGUCUAAGUGGUGCUCAUCUCCAUAAGUCCAAGCUCUUCCUUGUCUUGUCUCUGGUCCCAAAGAUCUUAUGUAGUGUCUACUGUGGUGGUAGCAGAUCGGUUUCCAGAUCGUUCAUGUGGUGAUGUAUCUAAGUAUGGCUGUUUACAAGCAGUCAUUCUUCCUUAACCAGAAAGUUCAGCGUUUAAUUCUUUACUUUUAACAACAGAAUAAUCCAAACCAUCGGCUUCCAAGUCUCUCAUUUGAAGAUUGCAGAUUGAGUGUCUAUUCUACUGAAGAGACAUUCACCAUCUCCCUUCGGCUACAUAGAUUGUGUUUUAGACAAAGCCAGUCAGAGAUCUCCAGCAAGGGCACCUCAGGUCCGUUUGUUAGUUUUCCUUCUGGCAUGUAGAAAGGCGGUAAUAUUCAGCAGGCUAUCUUCAUCUCUUAAAUGGUAUACAUUCAUCACUGAAGAUGUGGCUGACUUUGUAGCAGUUUGACCGUAUCAAAGAAAUCAAGUCCUGAUCCAUGCAAGAGACCAAAAACCAGUCCAUACUACAAGUAUAUUAUGAUUCAGAAAAGUUUAUCCUAGAAUCUUAACGCUACAUAUUGGAAGAUCUUAUGUGACAGAAGAGACUAUACCAUCAAAGUGUGAAUUGAACGUCUUAUUUCUAGUAGAUUAUAGAAUCUAGAAGAUCCGGAAAUAGUCUGGUGCCUGAGUUCAACAGGGUAUUGGAGAGGUUGCACCUCCGCAGGAUGCCGAUCAACCAGGGCGAGAUGUUCUCUGUUA